This 6815-nucleotide long non-coding RNA is filed under the name Marmota monax (woodchuck). Lineage: Eukaryota; Metazoa; Chordata; Mammalia; Rodentia; Sciuridae. The record is from RNAcentral.
CUUGUACUUCGAGGUCUGUGACCUUGUACUUCGAGGUGGAGCUGAGGAGUGAGAGUCGACCCGGAACUGAACAGAAAACUUCGUUGGGGUUCACCACGCCACCAAAGAGGUUGUCCUUGCUAAUAGGGAUGGCGGAGACGGCGUUGCUGUUGGACUUGGACAGGGACACACGGACGGGGCCUUUCUUAAUUACAGUUUGAUCUGAGAUGUUAAUACCCGGGUCUUCUACAUGCAGGAAGUCCUCGAUGGCGUGAGGUAAGCAGUGGAUCCGGAGGUCUCCGAGUCCCGAGCCAAGCCCGUGCGGGCCUGGCAGGAAGUCCUCGUGCCGCCGGUAGUCCCUGCGAAGAUCCAGGCGGACAGCUGGUGGGGCAGCCCCCGGUGCGUGUGCAGGAGCCCAGACUCCUGACUCUGCCUCUGGCCGGCCACCCCGUGUACUGUGGCUGCGGCUGGGCGUGCAGGGGGUUCAGGCUGUAGGGGUCGUUGACAUGGGAGUAAGGAUCUUGCGACUGGGGGUAGAUAGGCUGGUAGGGCGGGGGGAAGGAAGGGAGCUGGAAGUCUGCAUUGGGGGUGUGGGACAGCGGCGGGGCUGUAGGGAGAUUGACCUAUAGUGCCCAGCUGGGGCAACCACGCCGUCCGUCUGCUGGUGCCAUUGUGAUGGUCCUGCCAGUCCCCAAUUUUGGCAAGUAUGGACAUCCCGGCUUGGCGCUCCUGGCGAUGGGUCCCCACCAGGCAUGGGCUGGAGGGCUCCGCAGGGCCCGCUUGCUGGAAUCGCUUAGGCAAAUCCUCCUGUUUACCCGCUCACCAACAUCUCACCUGGUCAUAAAGAGCUCAGAUUUUGUUAUGUAAUUAAUUUUAAUGCUAUGAUGGCCGGGCCCCUCCCUCAGAAUUGGAAAUCUCUUUGUAUGUUUUUUUUUUUUUAGAUUUGUGUAAACCUUGUAUGCGUGGAAUCAAGAAUGAUUAAGGAAAGUGCAAAGACUUGUGCACAAAGGUGCUCUGGACAUGGAGUAAGUAAUAAGUAAGCCCAUGUUUCCUUGAAUCACAUCUCUCUUGGAAGCUUUUCAAUGUCACUCAUUAAUUUAUGUUUAUCAGGUUCUGACUAUGUGCCAGGACCUUGUGUAUCUAGAUUCAAUUUGGAGCUAAAUUGAGUAAACCCAGCAGCUAUAAUUAGUGUUAAAAACCACUUUGAUUUGAAUUGAAUUGCUGAUGACCUAAAAAAGUAUAUUAUUAUAGUUGUGUACUUUUCAAAAGAUGUUAAAUAUAUCAGUAAAUACAUAAACUUGUUCACAAAAGGAAGAUAAUUCCUGUGUCUUAUGAAUAUAAGUGGUCAUGGGAAAUUUGAUUUUAUCUCCUUUUAAAAAUAUGCUUGCUUUUGUAGAGCUUUAGUUUCAUAGCAAAAUUUAGUAGAAAGUGCAGAGAUUUUUGCAUAGACCCUCUUGACUCCAUUUGUAUACAACCUAUCACAAUUUCAACAUCACAAACCACUGUGUAACACUUGUACAAUUGAUUAUGUACACUGAUACAUAAUUAUCACCAAGAGUUCAUAGCUUACAUUAGAGUUGACUCUCAGUGUUAUAUUAUCUUUGAGUUUUUGAUUAAUAUAUAAUUACAUGUGUCCACUGGUAUGAUCAGAGUACUUUUACUCCCCUAAAAAGCUUCUGAGCUCCAUAUAUUCAAUCUUCUAUUUCCUCUAACCCCAGGCAACCACUGAUGUUUUUACCCUCUCUGUUAUUUUUUUUUUUUUUUGAGUAUCAAGUUAUUGGAAUCAUAAAUUAUGUAGGCUUUUCAGAUUGCUUCUUUCACUUAAUGAUAUGCAUUUGAUAUGCAUUCUCCACUUUUUUUUUUCUUUUCUGGAGGUCUUUUCUUUUUUUUAGUAACUUAAAAAAUGAAUUAAUUUUAAGAUUAGUUUCAGGUUCACAGCAAAAUUGGAUUAAGAUACAGGUAGUUCCCAUAUAGUUCAUACCUCAAACAUUCCUAGCUCUCUUCAUUUUCAGCAUGCCUCAUCAGAGUUGUACAAUUCUUAUAAUGGAUGAACCUACAUGGAUACACCAUCAUCACCCAAAGUCCAUAGUGUAUGUUAGGGUUCACUUUUUAUUUUGUAUGUCUUAUGGAUUUUGACAAGUGCAUAAUGACACUUGUCUCUCCCAUUAUAUCAUACAGAGUAUUUUUACUACCUUAGAAGUCCUCUGACUUUUCUCUUAAUCCUUCCCUCCCACUUAGCUCCUGGAACCCAGUGAAUUUUUUUCUCCAUAGCUUUUCCAUAAAAUCAUAUUCCUGGAGUCAUACAUUAUGUAGACUUUUUAGAUUGACUUAUUUAUUAAUAUGCAUUUAAGAGUCCUCUAUAUAUUUUCAUGCCUUGAUAGCUCAUUUCUUUUUAAUGUGAAAUAAUGUUAUUUAAUGUGAAAUAAUGUUACAUUGUCUUGAUAUACUGCAAUUAUUUAUUCAUUUACCUGCUGAAAAACAUUCUGGUUGCUUCUAAGUUUUAGCAAUUAUGAAUAAAGCUGUUAUAACCAUUCUUGUUCAGGUUUUUCGACGAAGAAUAUACAUUUUCAACUCCUUUGUGUAAAGGAUUGCAACCAGAGAAUCCUAUGGUGGGAAGAUGCCUAAUAUUGGAAGAGACUGUCAAAAUGUCUUCCAACACAACUGCAUAAUUUCAUGUUGCCCCACAACCUAGCCAGUAUUUGAUGUCAAUGUUUUAUAAUUGGUCAUUCUAGUGGUGUGCAGUGAUACCCUAUUACUAUUUGAAUUUACAUUUCACUGAUGGCAUGUGGUGUAGGUCAUCUUUUUAUAUAAUUAUUUACCAUCUGGAUAUCUUUUUUGUGAAGUAUCUGGUACAGUCUUUUGCCCAUUUUAAAAUCAGGCUGUUUAGUUUCUUUUUAUAAAGUGUUAAAUGUUUUUUGUUUAUUUUGAAUACUAGUCCUGUAUCUGAAUAUGUCCUUGUACACACAUGUUUUAUCCCCAUUAUUGGCUUAUCUUCUUGUUUCACUAACAGCAUUUUUCAAAGAGGAUAAAAAUUAAUUUUUAUUAAUAUUAAUUCUUAGAUAUGUAUUUCAUAUAUUCCCUAAGAUAUGGAACAAGACAAAGAUGAUUCUCCAUAUAGAGAAACUGAAUAUUUAACCAAAAAACUACCAGCAUUGAUAAAUGAAUUUUGUAAAGUUUCAGAAUACAGUAUUAAUAUAAAAAAAUCAGUAGCACUUUUAUAUACCAAAGAGAUUAUGAAAAUAUUCCAUUUACAAUGGCUACAAAAAAUAAAAUACCUGGGGAUAAAUUUAAUUAAGGAAGUGAAAGACCUCUACACUGAAAUUUAUAAAAUACCCAUGAAAGAAAUUGAAGAAGACACACACAAAUAAACACAAAUGAAAAGACCUUCCAUGGAACAAUUAAUAUUGUUAAAAUGUCCAUAUUAUUCAAAGAAAUUCAUACAAAAUACCAAUAACAAAUCAUAAAAUUCAUAUGGAAGCCCAAAAGAUCCCAAAUAGCAAAAGCAAUCUUGAGCAAAAGGAGCAAAGCUGCAGGGCAUUCUGAUGUCUGUAUUCCAGAUAUACUACAGUGCUUUAGUAAUCCAAAACAAAAGGGUACUGGGAUAAAAAUAUUCACAUAGACCAUUGCAACUAAAUAGAAUUCCAUGAGGAACCCCAUGCAGUUAUAGUCAACUGAUUCUUGACAAAGGUGUCAAGAAAUACACUGAAGAAAAGACAAGCUCUUCAAUCAAAGGUGGUGGGAGAACUGGAUAUACAUAAAGCAGAAGUUUGAAACUUGGCCCCUGUCUCUCAGCCCAUAUGAAAGUAAACUCAAAAUGGAUCAUAGACCUAAAUGUAAGACUGCUAUUUUUGUUUUGUUUUUGUUGUUGUUUUUGCCUCCAUUCUCUUCUCCAUAAUUGCUGUACUAAUUUACGUUCUUAUCAACAACAUACAAGAGUUCCUUUUUUCUACACUGUUGCCAAUAUGUGUAUAUGUGUGUGUAUGUGUGUGUGUGUGUGUGUGUGUGUGUCUGUGUCUUUUCAAUAAUAACCAUUCUGCUUGGGAUGAGAUAUUAUGGUUCCAAUUUGCAUUUCUAAGAUAACUAAUGAUAUUGAGCAUUUUCUUAUAUAUUAGUUAGUUAUUUGUAUUCAUUCUCUUGAGAAGUAUAUAUUAAGGUCAUGCAACCAUUUAAAAGUUGUUUUAUAUUUUGUAGUUGAGUUUUUUUAGUUUCCUAUUUAUUCUGAAUAUCAAUCCUUUGUCAGAUUAGUAGUUAUCAAAUAUUUUCUCCAUUUUUUUCACUCCAUGUAUUACUACCUUUGUUUUGAAAAUGCUACUUAGUUUUAAAUAAUUUUAUUGGAUGGUUUUUGGCUUUAGUUGCUUGUGCUUUUGGAUCUUGUGAAAAAAUCCUUACCUACAUGGAUGUUAUUAAAUGUUUACCCUAUGUUUUCUUCUAGUAGUUUCAUGAUUUUAGGUCUUACAUUUAGGUCUAUUUAUAACCUAUGCAAUUUUUGGGAUGGUGGGCUCACCAUGGCUGAGGCUCACAUUCCAGACCACCUGGGGCCACCACUCUGCCUCCCUGGGACAAGGAUUUAGCUUUAGAAUCAACAUAAAUGCCCAUGAUUAGAUGAAUAAAGAAAGUGUGGUAUAUACACACAAUGGAGUAUUAUUUAGCCAUACAAAGAAUGAAAUUCUGUACUUUGCAGCAAAAUGGAUGGAACUUUAGGACAUGCUGAGAGAAAUAAGGUAGGUACUAAAAGACAUAUAACCCAUGUUCUCUUUCCUGUAGAUCUUUCAAAAAGUUGAUCUGAAUGUAGAAUAUGGAUUAAUAGUGACUGAGCGGAGUAGGGGGAAGGGAGAAGGGAGCGGGGGAAGGGAGUGGGGUAGGGAGAAUCAGAUAAUGGGAACAAAAUCAAAAUUGCAUAGGUUAUAAAUUUUAGUGUUCCAAAGCACAGUAGGGUGAAUAUAAUCCACAAUCACCUAUUAUAUAUUUUAUGAAGAACUAGAAGAGAGGAAUUUGAUGUCUCCAAGCAUAAAGAAGUGAUAAGGAUAUGGAAAUUCUAAUUUUCUUUAUUCAAUCUGUAAAUACUAUAAGCAUUAUUGAAAUAUCACCUCUACUCUAUGAAUAUAUAUAAUUGUUACAUGUUAAUAGAACAAAAUUAUAAAAGGGCUUCCAUUGACAAAAUAUGAGGCAAUUUGGGCAUUGUUAUAAAUAAUGAUAUAAAUAGAUUUUUGCUCAUUGAAUAAAGUAAAAUAAAUGUGAUUUUGUUUUAAUAAAUAAGUAAAAAUUUAACAAGUAAAUGUAUUACAUGGUAUUUCCAAUAAUAUCAUUUACUAUUAUUGAUUAUUGUUAAUGACAAUAACUGCAUAAAUGAAUGGGGAGGAAGGAAAAAUUUUCCUUACAUUAUAAGCAAUAUAGAAAGAAUGAGGGGGUUAAAGAAUUAUCAGUGGAUUCUAAAACUAGUGGGUGGAAAUUUUAUAAGGAGUGAUAUAGUUCCAUAAUCUUAAAUUAUUUCCUUAUGUAUUAGUCAGCUUUUCAUUGCUGUGACUCAAGUACCUGACAACAACAACUUAGAGAAGGAAAAGUUGGGCUUCAUAACUUCAAAGAUUGAGUCCAAGAUCAGCCAACUCCAUUCUUCUGGACCUGACGUAAGGCAGAACAUCUUGAUGGAAGGGUGGUGGAGGAGAAAAGCUGCUCAACUUAUGACAGCCAGAAAGCAGAGAGGGAAAAAAGGGGCAGGGGGACGGGAAUGAAUGUGUGUGCAUGAGAGAGUCAGAGAAAGACAAAGUUCAUGCAUGAAGGUAUAACCCCAAGGGCAAAAUAACCUCAUAAUUUGAAUAAACUCUUGGGUGGAAAUUGAGGCAGCCAUGCCCCAUCAGCCUAUAGUUACCACACAAUAGUUUAUUCAAAUGAUAAAUCUAUCCAAUGGAUUAAUCUCCUGAUGACAUUUUAUUAUUAUUGCCCAAAAGCCCCACCUCUGAAUCUUCCAAAACAUGAGCUUUUGAAGGUUAACUAAGUGACACGAGUGAUGAUGCAAUACUGGAACAAACUGACAUUAGAGGAACAUCAGUUUUGUAAAGAGUUUCAGGGGAAAAGAUUCAUGUUCUUAGUUGUAAUAUUUAGAUUCAAUGUAAGACAGCCCAAAUUGAGAGAUGUUUUAUAUUAUUUUGAGAGGUAGCAUAGUAUAAUGCUCAAGACUUAGUUUAAAUGCUGGCUCUCUCCAUUAGUAGCAGUUUGACUUUUGGAAAGCUAAAUAUGUAUGUCUCAGUUUCUUCAUUUGUAAAGUGGGAAUGAUAAUAGUCCUUUUAUGCUUUUAGAUCUGAAAUGUGUCCCCAGAAAGCUCAUGUAUUAGGAAAUGUAGCAAAGUUCAGAGGUGACAGAUGGAAUCAUGAGGGCUCUGACUUCCUAAGUGCACUAAUUCUUUUGAUGGAUUAAUAAUUGGAUUGCACUUAGUGGAAGGUAGUGAAAAUGAUAAGCAGGUGGAGCAUAGCUGAAGGAAGUAGGUCACUGGGGACUUGGCCUUGGCACUGUAUCUGUACCUGACUCUUUUCUAUUUCUCUCUGCUAUCUUACAGGGCUGUUAUGAGUAUUUAAUGAGUAAAUCCAUAUAAAGUGCUCAGAAUAGAGACUCACAGCUAAUAAGCCCAAUAAAUGUGUUUGCUGUCAUCAUUCAUUAAUUAAUUACAUUAAUUAAAUACAUUUAAUUACAUUUCUCAGUUACAGAAAAAAAUCACUUACUAAACUUGUACUAUAUCUAAGCAUCUAGAUGCUCAGAUUACAAAAUGCUUUUAAUUAAAAAUCAAACAAAUGCAGAUAAAACCAAAUCCUGUCCUGGUUAAGGGUAGUUUUAGGCCAGUAAAU